GGUUAAUUCGAUGCAACGCCGAAGAACCUUACCAGGUCUUGACAUCUGUAGAAUCCGGUUGAAAGAUCGGAGUGCCUUCGGGAGCUACAAGACAGGUGGUGCAUGGUUGUCGUCAGCUCGUGUCGUGAGAUGUGGGUUAAGUCCCGCAACGAGCGCAACCCUUGCUAUUAGUUGCUAACAGGUAGAGCUGAGCACUCUAAUGGGACUGCCCGUGACAAGCGGGAGGAAGGUGGGGAUGACGUCAAAUCAUCAUGCCCUUUAUGAUCUGGGCUACACACGUGCUACAAUGGAUGGUACAGAGAGCAGCGAGGCCGCGAGGUGGAGCGAAUCUCAAAAAGCCAUUCUCAGUUCGGAUUGCAGUCUGCAACUCGACUGCAUGAAGUCGGAAUCGCUAGUAAUCGCGAAUCAGCACGUCGCGGUGAAUGCGUUCCCGGGCCUU
RNAcentral lists this ribosomal RNA (439 nucleotides) under uncultured Syntrophomonas sp. RNAcentral describes it as "bacterial SSU rRNA". It matches the Rfam family "Bacterial small subunit ribosomal RNA", at positions 943 to 1382 of the family's 1533-position model. The record is from RNAcentral. Lineage: Bacteria; Bacillati; Bacillota; Clostridia; Eubacteriales; Syntrophomonadaceae.